AACGAACGCUGGCGGCAUGCCUAACACAUGCAAGUCGAACGAGACCUUCGGGUCUAGUGGCGCACGGGUGCGUAACGCGUGGGAACCUGCCCUUAGGUUCGGAAUAACUCCCCGAAAGGGGUGCUAAUACCGGAUAAUGUCUUCGGACCAAAGAUUUAUCGCCCUUGGAUGGGCCCGCGUUGGAUUAGCUAGUUGGUAGGGUAAAAGACUACCAAGGCGAGGAUCCAUAGCUGGUCUGAGAGGAUGAUCAGCCACACUGGGACUGGGACACGGCCCAGACUCCUACGGGAGGCAGCAGUGGGGAAUAUUGGACAAUGGGCGAAAGCCUGAUGCAGCAAUGCCGCGUGAGUGAUGAAGGCCUUAGGGUUGUAAAGCUCUUUUACCCGGGAUGAUAAUGACGGUACCGGGAGAAUAAGCUCCGGCUAACUCCGUG
This 433-nucleotide ribosomal RNA is filed under the name uncultured bacterium. RNAcentral's name for it is "partial 16S ribosomal RNA". It matches the Rfam family "Bacterial small subunit ribosomal RNA", at positions 29 to 507 of the family's 1533-position model. The record is from RNAcentral.